This 65-nucleotide transfer RNA is filed under the name Camelus bactrianus (Bactrian camel). It matches the Rfam family "tRNA". Rfam says of the family: Transfer RNA (tRNA) molecules are approximately 80 nucleotides in length. RNAcentral also lists the same sequence under 1 other name. The record is from Rfam by way of RNAcentral. Lineage: Eukaryota; Metazoa; Chordata; Mammalia; Artiodactyla; Camelidae.
AGUAUAGCUCAGUGGUAGAGCGUGUGCUUAGCAUACGUGAGGUCCUGGGUUUGAUCCCUAGUACU